UGACCUGCCCAUUGGGUUCUAAAAGGCCGCGGUAUUAUGACCGUGCAAAGGUAGCAUAAUCAUUAGUCUUUUAAUUGAAGGCUAGAAUGAAUGGUUGGACAAGAAAUAAUCUGUCUUAAGUUAAUAUAUUGAAUUUAACUUUUAAGUGAAAAGGCUUAAAUUUUCUAGAGUGACGAUAAGACCCUAUAAAACUUUAUAUUUUAAAAUAAUAAUUAGUUUUAUUUAAGAAUUUUAUUUAAAAAUAUUUUAUUGGGGUGAUAAAGAUAUAAAUUUAAAUAACUGUCUUCUUUUUUUACAAUAAUAUUUGAAUUAAUGAUCCUAAGAAAGGAGUAAAAGAUCAAGUUACUUUAGGGAUAACAGCGUAAUUUUUUUUAAGAGUUCAUAUCGACAAGAAAGUUUGCGACCUCGAUGUUGAAUUAAAAAAUCUUUAUAGAGCA
Molecule: ribosomal RNA, 437 nt
Filed under: Pacifastacus connectens
Lineage: Eukaryota; Metazoa; Arthropoda; Malacostraca; Decapoda; Astacidae
Description: partial 16S ribosomal RNA
Rfam family: Bacterial large subunit ribosomal RNA
Source: RNAcentral